UACGAAGGGGGCUAGCGUUGCUCGGAAUUACUGGGCGUAAAGGGCGCGUAGGCGGGUCGUUAAGUUGGGGGUGAAAGCCCAGGGCUCAACCCUGGAAUUGCCUUCAAUACUGGCGACCUUGAGUAUGGCAGAGGUGUGUGGAACUCCGAGUGUAGAGGUGAAAUUCGUAGAUAUUCGGAAGAACACCAGUGGCGAAGGCGACACACUGGGCCAUUACUGACGCUGAGGCGCGAAAGCGUGGGGAGCAAACAGGG
RNAcentral lists this ribosomal RNA (254 nucleotides) under uncultured bacterium. RNAcentral describes it as "partial 16S ribosomal RNA". It matches the Rfam family "Bacterial small subunit ribosomal RNA", at positions 524 to 777 of the family's 1533-position model. The record is from RNAcentral.